GUGCUGCAUACAAUGCUCUACCCCCACCCCAGCACAAGAGCUGCACUUAACCCAGAGCAUCUGAGUUGCCAGCUGCCAUUAAAAGAGCUGAGCCUGAGCUGGGUACAGCCUAAAGAGCAGUUUCCUUUCAGCUACCCAUUCAUGAGGAUGCAGACAUUUGUCAUCAGGCUGUUUUUUAAGGUUUUUUCCAUCCUGGGGCAUCAUGGCAGCAAAGUGAUUUUCUCCAGAGGCACAAACUCAAUAGCUCAGACAGACCCUGUGUGUUUCUACCUUCCCAGCAAACAAAACUUAGCAAUUUAUGCUUGUAUUUAAUAGGUUUUCUCAAAUAGCCCAGAGCAAAACUAAACACCCCAAAGAAAUCAAACAUGUGAAAACCCUAAAGAAGAAGCUGUUUUUCUUCUUCAGAGAGAAGCCAACAAGCUUGUUUUCUUUUUAAAGAGAUGCAUAACCAAGAGAGCUCUGAAGCACUGAAAUUACAUCUUGUACAGCACAGGCUGUCACGCUCAGAGGCACCCCAGCAUCACUGCUCGACACAGCUGAGCGCAGAGAGCAAAUCUGCCAUCCGCCAGCCCUGCGUUGGGACUUAGCGUUCUCAUUCUGACUAAUUACUACUAUGUUAAUUUGACAAAGAGAUGUUCCCCUUUGCAGGAAAUUUCCAGCGUUGUUCUGCUUUUAUUUCUUUUCUUUUCUUUUUUUUUUUUCAGCUGCUCUUUAGUUCUGAGAAUCUUCUUUCCAUACCCUCAUACCCCAUCAUACUUCUCUCGUAUUGUACCUGUGCUGAUGGUGACCGCUAUGGGAUGCUGGGGAUCUCCCUUAUUGUGUCUGAGUCGUGGUCUUGUGCCACAUAAACAUGCUGAGCUGCUGCCCUGGAGAUGUGGCAGGAAAGUUGGGUGGAUAGAAACCUGAUGAGGUUCAAUGGGAGUGUCUGUAGAGCCCUGCACAUAGGGAGGAAUAACCACAAACAUCAGUACGGGAUGAGGAUAUCAGUAGAGGAUGUCCUGAUGGAGAGGAGCUUGUCCUUGUGUCCAGGAAGACCAAUUGCAUCCUGGUUGACCAC
Molecule: long non-coding RNA, 1057 nt
Filed under: Coturnix japonica (Japanese quail)
Lineage: Eukaryota; Metazoa; Chordata; Aves; Galliformes; Phasianidae
Description: lncRNA (ENSCJPG00005008127.1)
Source: RNAcentral